Molecule: long non-coding RNA, 1145 nt
Organism: Lagopus leucura (white-tailed ptarmigan)
Lineage: Eukaryota; Metazoa; Chordata; Aves; Galliformes; Phasianidae
Exons: 7
Source: RefSeq, a predicted model, not a curated record
AUGAUUCCCCAUGUGGAACUGCUGCACUAGGAGCAGUAGUGGCUUCAUUAGUUCUAUGAGAUGGCUGCACUGUAAGAAGAAUUCGCAUCUGGCUUAAGACAGCUGCUGGGUUCUAAGAAGCUGCUUAUAAAGUUAAGCUCCAGAUAAAAAUCUUCUGUGAAUAACUUCAGAGAAUUGCACGUCAACCUGGUCUGCAACACGAAUGUUGUUCCAAUUCACACUUUCUCUAACGCUCGAAACAGUUCCGGCAGCAGCAGCACCUUGAGUAGGACAUCAGGAGGAAGUCAGAGACGUAUGAAGUGCAUUAAUUAGAUGUGAUGCUUAGAAGGGAUCUGUGUGCUUUUCUACAGGACUCUGUGUGACACAACUGUCCUGAGGUGGACUUCUGCCCUCCUGUAUGGGAAGAAACAGUGAGACUGCCUCGAGGCAACUUACAGCGCUGCUGUGAACGUGUGAAAUCCUUCUUCCACUGAAAAGUCAGCUUGCCACAGGAUCUAAUGGAGCCAAGACGUUAGAUUUAUUCAGAGGCCUCCAAAAUCCUGAUUAUGCUGUUCAAUGAGUAUCCAUAUAAAUUAAAUAACAUUAUUAGCCCAAGACAGACAGCGGCAUUGAAAAGCCUUUUUCUUUUCCCAGUUAAUCUUCAGGUAUUCAUCUGGGUCCACAGAUCUGCCUGAAAAGUGUAGCAAGACCAGGGCUCUUAUCUGGGGGACUAACAUCAGGAAAAUACAUUUUAGGAAAGAUUUGUGAUUGAACUGCUACAAAAAUUUGUUCUUACUCCUAUUAAUACCAAAUCACUCUCUGGAACUGUUCAACGACCUUAACUGCAUUAACAGUGACUUCCGUUUUUAUGCAAAUUGGAAAGAACAAAACCCUAACAACUGAGGAGGCAUAAAUCCACCUCCCCCACACUCUGGGUCUGCACCUAAUCAUUAUUAUUUACCAUAUGAAAAGGAUGGAAAGAAACCAGACUUAGGUUUCCUUUUAGGUGUAGAUUUUAUGAAGAAAUAUCAGCUCCUGGAAACUUUGUCAUAGAUGCCCACGAACUGAGGAACUCAAGAGACGCCUCGGUUUGAGUUAUGCUGAUUUUCUUGACCAAACUGAAAUAAAACAUUGCUCCCCAACCCUGCAGUAGAAACUAGCUCAAG